RNAcentral lists this ribosomal RNA (429 nucleotides) under Bacteroidota bacterium. RNAcentral's name for it is "Bacteroidetes bacterium partial 16S ribosomal RNA". It matches the Rfam family "Bacterial small subunit ribosomal RNA", at positions 355 to 776 of the family's 1533-position model. The record is from RNAcentral. Lineage: Bacteria; Pseudomonadati; Bacteroidota.
UAGGGAAUCUUCCGCAAUGGACGCAAGUCUGACGGAGCAACGCCGCGUGAGUGAAGAAGGAUUUCGGUUCGUAAAACUCUGUUGUUAGAGAAGAACAGCGCAUAGAGUAACUGUUAUGCGUGUGACGGUAUCUAACCAGAAAGCCACGGCUAACUACGUGCCAGCAGCCGCGGUAAUACGUAGGUGGCAAGCGUUGUCCGGAUUUAUUGGGUGGAAAGCGAGCGCAGGCGGUCAAUUAAGUCUGAUGUGAAAGCCCCCGGCUCAACCGGGGAGGGUCAUUGGAAACUGGAUGACUUGAGUGCAGAAGAGGAGAAUGGAAUUCCAUGUGUAGCUGUGAAAUGGGUAGAUGUAGGGAGAAACACCAGUGGCGAAGGCGAAUCUCUGGUCUGUAACUGACGCUGAGGCUCGAAAGCGUGGGUAGCAAACAGG